GGAGGGGUGACCGAGCGGCCUAUGGUGGCGGUCUUGAAAACCGCAGUCUCGAAUUUCGGGACCGUGGGUUCGAAUCCCACCCCCUCCG
Molecule: transfer RNA, 88 nt
Filed under: Dehalococcoidia bacterium
Lineage: Bacteria; Bacillati; Chloroflexota; Dehalococcoidia
Also listed under: 1 other name
Description: tRNA-Ser
Rfam family: tRNA
About the family: Transfer RNA (tRNA) molecules are approximately 80 nucleotides in length. Their secondary structure includes four short double-helical elements and three loops (D, anti-codon, and T loops). Further hydrogen bonds mediate the characteristic L-shaped molecular structure. tRNAs have two regions of fundamental functional importance: the anti-codon, which is responsible for specific mRNA codon recognition, and the 3' end, to which the tRNAs corresponding amino acid is attached (by aminoacyl-tRNA synthetases). tRNAs cope with the degeneracy of the genetic code in two manners: having more than one tRNA (with a specific anti-codon) for a particular amino acid; and 'wobble' base-pairing, i.e. permitting non-standard base-pairing at the 3rd anti-codon position.
Source: RNAcentral